This 250-nucleotide ribosomal RNA is filed under the name uncultured bacterium. RNAcentral's name for it is "partial 16S ribosomal RNA". It matches the Rfam family "Bacterial small subunit ribosomal RNA", at positions 524 to 773 of the family's 1533-position model. The record is from RNAcentral.
UACGGAGGGUGCAAGCGUUGUCCGGAUUUAUUGGGUUUAAAGGGUGCGUAGGCGGGGUCUUAAGUCAGUGGUGAAAGCCGGCAGCUCAACUGUCGAAUUGCCAUUGAUACUGGGGUCCUUGAAUUCAGUUGAGGUAUGCGGAAUUGAUGGUGUAGCGGUGAAAUGCAUAGAUACCAUCAGGAACACCGAUUGCGAAGGCAGCAUACUGGGCUUGAAUUGACGCUGAGGCACGAAAGUGUGGGGAUCGAAC